RNAcentral lists this unclassified non-coding RNA (375 nucleotides) under uncultured bacterium. RNAcentral's name for it is "contains 16S-23S intergenic spacer region". The record is from RNAcentral.
UCCGGCUUGUCACCGGCAGUAUCUCCAGAGUGCCCAACUGAAUGAUGGCAACUGAAGAGGAGGGUUGCGCUCGUUGCGGGACUUAACCCAACAUCUCACGACACGAGCUGACGACAGCCAUGCACCACCUGCACACCAGCCACAAGGGAACGCCUAUCUCUAGACGCGUCUAGUGCAUGUCAAUCCCAGGUAAGGUUCUUCGCGUUGCAUCGAAUUAAUCCGCAUGCUCCGCCGCUUGUGCGGGCCCCCGUCAAUUCCUUUGAGUUUCAGCCUUGCGGCCGUACUCCCCAGGCGGGGCACUUCAUGCGUUAGCGCCGGUACUCCAAGGGUCGCUCCCCGGAGCACCUAGUGCCCAUCGUUUACGGCGUGGACUAC